Perognathus longimembris pacificus (Pacific pocket mouse) is the source of this 747-nucleotide long non-coding RNA. RefSeq lists it as uncharacterized. The record is from RefSeq and is a predicted model, not a curated record. The transcript has 2 exons. Lineage: Eukaryota; Metazoa; Chordata; Mammalia; Rodentia; Heteromyidae.
AAGUCUAAAUGUUCCAAACUGCCAACACUGAUUGCCUUAACUCACUGUUUCAGGAGUCAGGCAGAAGAAGGGUUAAAUUGCAAUAGUGUAAGAACAUAGCAGAGCAAAAGUCACUGUGUUAUUUCUUGGACUGGUUUCUGCCUAACCAGUUACCGUUUCUCAAGCCCUCUGAAAGCAUGCCAAAAGCUACCUGCAGAGGCAGUGGCCGGCCAGCAGCCAGCACGGGCUGUUCCAGUCUCCGGGCACAAUGCCAAGCAGCUUUUACAGUUAUCUUUUCAAUUGGCAUCUCAUUUGCUUUUAUUUUAAGCAGGGUCUUUUGGUGGAAAGUACACUGAACUUAAGACUCUGAGUACCUGGGUGCUCAUCCAGAGACUACAGCAGGCUAACUCACCUUCUGGAGCUCUCAGCUGCCAUUGAGGGGCAAGUGGAGGUUAUUAUAUCAGGGCUCUUUAGUGGUGUUGCUUAGGUCCACAGUUCAAGACCAGGAGUUGGAAAACAACAGUCCAGAGAUACAUCUGAAAGGUUUCAUGCCCAUAGCUUCCAUCAUCCCUUCUUUUCUCCUGCCAGUUUUCCAUGUCCUCAGAGAUGUGCAGAGAGGGGAAAGUUUUCUAUAGCACAAAUGAGCAGCUUUGGGGACCUCUCCCUUGCCUCUGGCAAAUUCCUUAUGGUUUGGAAGAAAAAUCCAUCUCUAUCAAGUUCUUUCAGGAUCUAUCUUUGAUUGCCUUAAUUAUCUCAAAGCCAUGUUUU